CAGGGGCGGGCAGGGCCUUGCUGGGCCAGGUAGGGGAGGCCUUAGGCUCCUCUCCUGCUCAGCUCCAACUCUGCAAAGUUUGCUUCAACUGCAGCCAGAGCUGUGCAGACGCGUGUGGAGUAGCAGGAUGAACAGAAGUUCCGACCCGGAGGUCACCGUCUCGGCGGCUCGUUCCUCCAUAGGUCAGUGUCCCGGAGGCACCCUACAGGUGCGCAGAGAACCCGGCCAACUGCCCGCGUGCAUUCAUGAUUGUUCAUCUCUGACCGUGUGGUGGCAGAGGUUCCUUCAGUGGUGCCCUGUCCACCGUGCCUGUCCACGACCUGGGGACAACUGUCAUCAAAGAAGUUCUGCAGAGGGCCAAGGUGGCUACUGAAGAGGUGUUUGAGGCGGACACGUUUUGACCGCAGGUAACUCUUCAAUAGACCAGGAAAGGUCAGCUUCAUUAGAAACAGAACAUUUAUUGGCUCUCCCACACCCUAUCACCACCACCACCACCACCACCACACAUUGCUUUGGAGUUCUCUCUGCUAGGAUUCUUUCUGUCCCUCCUCCUUCCUGUAGCUGAAGUCAAAGCUUCCUUAUGAACGUUUUCCCUGAGUGAUUUUAGACCAGGGGUGUGACUGCCUCUGCAUUGUUAGGAGCAGGGCCAGGCUGAUGCACAGAAAGGUAUGCAUAAUUCUCCACAUACCCCUAAAAUGUCACACAGUCAAGAAAAGUGUGUGGGCCUGACACUGUGCCAGAGCUGCAAGUGAGGCUGCAGCAGAGCCCUUGUCCACUUGUCAUGAGAUAGGCUGUCCCUCACUCCUGGGGGACUCUCUGGAGGAAGAAUGCUUCAUCUUACCUCUGAUUCCUGCUGGGUUUGUGGACCAGUGACUACUGUGGUCAGUUCCUGUUGAUAAUCGAUUUGAACCUGGGUGUGUAGCUCAGGGGUGAAGUGUGUGGUUAGCGUGCAUGUGGUCAUGAGUUCACUCUCUUGCCCUGCCCUGUGCUCUCUCAGCUCACAUUUGAAUCAACUGUAGAGAAAGUUGUUAACAUUCAAUACCAACUUCUGCUCUUCUUCUGUGCCAUUUGUAUGCGUGUCAGUUGGACAUCCUGUAUGUUUUAGAUGGGUGUUUUGCCCGCACAUAUGUCUUGCAUUUACCACUUGCCGCCUGGUGCUGGCAAAAGCUGGAGAGGACAUUGGGUUUCCUGGAACUGGAGUUACAGAUGGUUGUUGUUGUGAGCUGCUGUGCGGGUGCUGGGAAUCAAACCCCAAGAGCAGCCAGCGCUCCUAACCACUGACCAACUCUUCAAGCCUCUGAAUGUUCUAUAUUUGGAAAGGUUCUUAUUUCAGAAUUUAUAACCCCCAACAUACUUUUAUUUCAAUAUAUUAAAUCUUAAGUAUAUGUUGGUUGGAUAUAAUUGAAAUAAUAUAUAUAUAUGUACAUAUACAUGUAUAUAUAUUAUAGAUGCAUUAAUUGGCUGGAAC
Molecule: long non-coding RNA, 1468 nt
Filed under: Rattus norvegicus (Norway rat)
Lineage: Eukaryota; Metazoa; Chordata; Mammalia; Rodentia; Muridae
Description: long non-coding RNA NONRATT031501
Source: RNAcentral